AACCUGGUACUCACUGAUUCCAGAAGAAUUGUUAGUUGUCAUUGGAUCGUUGUCUAGCAUUACAGGAGUGAAAUGAGGGAGGAAGCCUAGAGCAAUCCUGGAAUAUCAGGGAUGCAGGAAAAACAGCCUUUAAUACCAUAUUUGGAGUUCAUUGGCGUAGACAUCCCUGAUCAUUGAACUGCUUCAAUCAGUAAGUUCUUUUCUCUGUGAGGAUGCUGUGAAUAUGAGCAUUUUGUGACAGGAGGUUUGGUUCUG
RNAcentral lists this long non-coding RNA (255 nucleotides) under Anser brachyrhynchus (Pink-footed goose). RNAcentral describes it as "lncRNA (ENSABRG00000011340.1)". The record is from RNAcentral. Lineage: Eukaryota; Metazoa; Chordata; Aves; Anseriformes; Anatidae.